RNAcentral lists this ribosomal RNA (800 nucleotides) under Oceanobacillus oncorhynchi. RNAcentral describes it as "bacterial SSU rRNA". It matches the Rfam family "Bacterial small subunit ribosomal RNA", at positions 181 to 967 of the family's 1533-position model. Lineage: Bacteria; Bacillati; Bacillota; Bacilli; Caryophanales; Bacillaceae. The record is from RNAcentral.
UUCUAUCACCUGAUGGAAAGUUGAAAGGCGGCUUUUGCUGUCACUUACAGAUGGGCCUGCGGCGCAUUAGCUAGUUGGUGAGGUAACGGCUCACCAAGGCGACGAUGCGUAGCCGACCUGAGAGGGUGAUCGGCCACACUGGGACUGAGACACGGCCCAGACUCCUACGGGAGGCAGCAGUAGGGAAUCUUCCGCAAUGGACGAAAGUCUGACGGAGCAACGCCGCGUGAGUGAUGAAGGUUUUCGGAUCGUAAAACUCUGUUGUCGGGGAAGAACAAGUAUGAUAGUAACUGAUCGUACCUUGACGGUACCCGACCAGAAAGCCACGGCUAACUACGUGCCAGCAGCCGCGGUAAUACGUAGGUGGCAAGCGUUGUCCGGAAUUAUUGGGCGUAAAGCGCUCGCAGGCGGUUCUUUAAGUCUGAUGUGAGAUCUUGCGGCUCAACCGCAAACGUGCAUUGGAAACUGGAGGACUUGAGUGCAGAAGAGGAGAGUGGAAUUCCACGUGUAGCGGUGAAAUGCGUAAAGAUGUGGAGGAACACCAGUGGCGAAGGCGACUCUCUGGUCUGUAACUGACGCUAAGGAGCGAAAGCGUGGGGAGCGAACAGGAUUAGAUACCCUGGUAGUCCACGCCGUAAACGAUGAGUGCUAGGUGUUAGGGGGUUUCCGCCCCUUAGUGCUGAAGUUAACGCAUUAAGCACUCCGCCUGGGGAGUACGGCCGCAAGGCUGAAACUCAAAAGAAUUGACGGGGACCCGCACAACUGUGGAGCAUGUGGUUUAAUUCCAAGCAACGCGAAGA